CUGGCGGCGUGCUUAACACAUGCAAGUCGUGCGCGAAGGCGGCUUCGGCUGCCGGAGAGCGGCGAACGGGUGAGUAACACGUGGGUAAUCUGCCUGGGAGUGGGGGAUAACCUGGGGAAACCCGGGCUAACACCGCAUACGAUGCUGGGUUUGCGGACCUGGUCUGAAAGCUGGCCUCUGUUUACAAGCUAGCGCUCCCAGAGGAGCCCGCGGCUGAUUAGCUAGUUGGUGGGGUAAUGGCCUACCAAGGCGACGAUCAGUAGCCGGCCUGAGAGGGUGAUCGGCCACACUGGAACUGAGACACGGUCCAGACUCCUACGGGAGGCAGCAGUGGGGAAUAUUGGACAAUGGGCGCAAGCCUGAUCCAGCAACGCCGCGUGGAGGACGAAGGUCUUCGGAUCGUAAACUCCUGUCAGACGGGACGAAGGCAAGCGGGUGAACAAUCCGUUUGCUUGACGGUACUGUCAAAGGAAGCCCCGGCUAACUCCUUGCCAGCAGCCGCGGUAAUACGGAAGGGGGCGAACGUUAUUCCGAAUUAUUGGG
RNAcentral lists this ribosomal RNA (543 nucleotides) under uncultured bacterium. Its description in RNAcentral is "bacterial SSU rRNA". It matches the Rfam family "Bacterial small subunit ribosomal RNA", at positions 36 to 558 of the family's 1533-position model. The record is from RNAcentral.